This 76-nucleotide microRNA precursor is filed under the name Schistosoma mattheei. RNAcentral's name for it is "mir-3492 microRNA precursor family". It matches the Rfam family "mir-3492 microRNA precursor family". The record is from Rfam by way of RNAcentral. Lineage: Eukaryota; Metazoa; Platyhelminthes; Trematoda; Strigeidida; Schistosomatidae.
AGUCUCCUGUAUCCGUGCUGAGAUUUCGUCACAUGCCAGACCAUAAGGACUGAUCAGACUUCAAUAACAAUAAUCA